AUCCCCUUUAGGGGAACUAAGGGGAUGAACUAAAGGGGACGAGCACUUCUUCCCCUAAAGGGGACGGAGACUUUGGUUCGUCCCCUUUAGUGUGUUCCUCCCCGAAGGGGAACUUCUUCAUCCCCUUUAGGGGAACUAAAGAAGACGGAGUCCCCUAAAGGGGAAGAAGGUUCCCCUAAAGGGGAAGAACUCCCCUACGGUUCCCCUUUAGGGGAUGAAGAAGGGGGGGGGUUCGUCCCCUUUAGUUCAUCCCCUUUAGUUCAUCCCCUUUAGGGUAACUAAAGGGGAUGAACUAAAGGGGAUGAACCAAAGGGGUUCCCCUUCGGGGAAGAAAACGAAGGGGUGCUCUUCCCCUAAAGGGGACGGAGUCCCCUAAAGGGGAAGAAGGGGUGCUCUUCCCCUAAAGGGGAAGAAGGUUCCCCUUUGGGGAAGAAAACGAAGGGGUUCAUCUUCUUCGUUAUCACCAAAGGGGAAGACGAAGGGGUGUUCCUCCCCGAAGGGGAACUUCUUCAUCCCCUUUAGGGGAACUAAAGAAGACGGAGUCCCCUUUAGUUCAUCCCCUUUAGUUCCCCUAAAGGGGAUGAACUAAAGGGGAUGAAGAAGGUUCCCCUUUGGGGAAGAAAACGAAGGGGAAGAACCAAAGGGGAAGAAAACGAAGGGGAGACGAAGGGGAAGCGCUAUGAGUUUAUUGUAGCUCUAAGAACCAAGUAAUAGCACUUUUUUUUCUUAAUUCUUCACAGCUCCUCCCGAGUUAUGUCCAACGACCUCCGUUAAGUAACAACUCAGUUGUAACGAGUUCACCGGGCUCCGCCCCUAAGGUAGUCUUAGCGUGCGUUCUGGCUUGGCUAAAAACGAAUACAUUCUACAACCAGGGGCAAAACCUCUUUCCCCGAAGGGGUGUUCCCCUUCGGGGAGACGAAGGGGGUUCCCCUUCGGGGAAGCGCUUCUUCAUCCCCUAAAGGGGAACUUUAGUGUUCGUCCCCCUAAAGGGGAACCGAAGGGGGGGAAGACUUUGGUUCCCCUUUAGGGGACAACCCUUUAG
This 1042-nucleotide long non-coding RNA is filed under the name Volvox carteri. RNAcentral describes it as "long non-coding RNA (VCAR_LNC004421)". The record is from RNAcentral. Lineage: Eukaryota; Viridiplantae; Chlorophyta; Chlorophyceae; Chlamydomonadales; Volvocaceae.